UGGGGAAUUUUGGACAAUGGGCGAAAGCCUGAUCCAGCAAUGCCGCGUGCAGGAAGAAGGCCUUCGGGUUGUAAACUGCUUUUGUACGGAACGAAAAGGCUCUUUCUAAUACAGAAGGCUAAUGACGGUACCGUAAGAAUAAGCACCGGCUAACUACGUGCCAGCAGCCGCGGUAAUACGUAGGGUGCAAGCGUUAAUCGGAAUUACUGGGCGUAAAGCGUGCGCAGGCGGUUAUGUAAGACAGUUGUGAAAUCCCCGGGCUCAACCUGGGAACUGCAUCUGUGACUGCAUAGCUAGAGUACGGUAGAGGGGGAUGGAAUUCCGCGUGUAGCAGUGAAAUGCGUAGAUAUGCGGAGGAACACCGAUGGCGAAGGCAAUCCCCUGGACCUGUACUGACGCUCAUGCACGAAAGCGUGGGGAGCAAACAGGAUUAGAUACCCCCGUAGUCCCUGAGCGGGCUGGCAAGGCGCAU
Molecule: ribosomal RNA, 472 nt
Filed under: uncultured bacterium
Lineage: Bacteria
Description: bacterial SSU rRNA
Rfam family: Bacterial small subunit ribosomal RNA
Source: RNAcentral